GGUUUUGCAUGAAGCAGCAGAACAUGAUGAAGCAUUUUUCCCCCAUCUAAAGAUCCAGUCGUGCUCCAGUUUGCAGAGGGCAAGGGGCUGGUUGCAGGUGGUGCUGGGAGGAUGGAGGUGAGUGGCUGGUCUGAGGUCCCUGAGAAAGGCAUGGGGCGGGUGUUGGGCAGGACUCCCUUGCUCUCAGAUGGCUCCCCAUUUAUUUGUCA
RNAcentral lists this long non-coding RNA (209 nucleotides) under Homo sapiens (human). Its description in RNAcentral is "non-protein coding RFPL1S:25". The record is from RNAcentral. Lineage: Eukaryota; Metazoa; Chordata; Mammalia; Primates; Hominidae.